Molecule: ribosomal RNA, 2432 nt
Filed under: wastewater metagenome
Description: bacterial LSU rRNA
Rfam family: Bacterial large subunit ribosomal RNA
Source: RNAcentral
UGUGAAGGAAAGGUGAAAAGAACCCCGGGAGGGGAGUGAAAUAGAUCCUGAAACCCUGUGCCAAUGAAGAGUAGGAGCCUGUAUUUAUACGGGUGACUGCGUACUUUUUGUAGAACGGACCAACGAGUUAGCUGUAUGUGGCAAGGUUAAGGGAGAGUAUACCCGGAGCCGUAGGGAAACCGAGUCUGAAUAGGGCGAUUCAGUCACAUGCACUAGACCCGAAACCCAUGCGAGCUACUCAUGUGCAGGCUGAAGGUGUGGUAACACACACUGGAGGGCCGAACCAUUUAGAGCUGCAAGUCUAUUGGAUGACAUGUGAGUAGGAGUGAAAAGCUAAUCGAGCUGGGAGAUAGCUGGUUCUCCGCGAAAUAUAUUUAGGUAUAGCCUCAUAAAGCAACAGUCUGAGGUAGGGCUCUGAUAAGGUGAGCGGGUCGCGAGACUUAGCAAUCCUUGAUAAACUUCGAAUGCAGACUGCCAAGUAUUAUGAGAGUCAGACAGUGACGGAGAAGCGCCAUUGUCAAAAGGGAAACAGCCCAGAUUCCUGUCUAAGGUCCCCAAAUAUACACUCAGUGGAAAAGGAGGUGAGGUUACUGAGACAACCAGGAUGUUGGCUUAGAAGCAGCCACUCAUUCAAAGAGUGCGUAAUAGCUCACUGGUCGAGUGAUCUUGCGCCGAAAAUUCAACGGGGCUUAAGUGUAUUACCGAAGACGGAAACUUCAAUUUUAUUGGAGUGGUAGCGGAGCGUCCUCUAUGCUGAUGAAGGUGAGUCGUAAGGCUUGCUGGAGGUACGAGGAGUGAAAAUGUUGGUAUGAGUAACGCGAACAGAAUGAAAACUUCUGUCACCGAAUGCCCAAGGUUUCCGAUCCAACGUCAGUCGUGGUCGGGUUAGUCGGUCCUAAGGUGUACCCGAAAGGGGAAACCGAUGGAUAGCAGGUUAAUAUUCCUGCACUUCAAAUGUUCGUUAUUACGACGUGGGGACAUAUCGGGUCAUUGGAGAGGGUUAUAGAUCAUCCUCGAAUUAUACAACAGCGGACACUUAGGAAAAUCCGGGUGUCAUUUACGAAAGAGUAUAGUUUCUCUCAAAGUGAAAGCGUAAGCUCGAGCAAUGAGAAGUCCUACAAUGAUUUGGUAUCGAGAAAAGCCACUAAGGAGAAUUAUUUGAAACCGUACCGCAAUCGAACACUCGUGGGCUGGUGUGAGUACACCAAGGUGGACGGGAUAACUAUGCUUAAGGAACUCUGCAAAACAGCGGUCGUAACUUCGGGAUAAGACCUGCCUGGAGAGUAAUUUACUCUUCAGGCCGCAGCUAACGAGCCCAGGCGACUGUUUACCAAAAACACAGCUCUCUGCAAACACGUAAGUGGAAGUAUAGGGGGUGAUGCCUGCCCAGUGCCAGAAGAUUACGGGGAGGGGUGCAAGCUCUGAACUUAAGUCCUGGUGAACGGCGGCCGUAACUAUAACGGUCCUAAGGUAGCGAAAUUCCUUGUCGGGUAAGUUCCGACCCGCACGAAUGGCAUAACGGUCUGGGCACUGUCUCAAGCAUAGUCCCGGUGAAAUUGCAAUAUCGGUAAAAAUGCCGAUUACUCGCAGCAAGACGGAAAGACCCUAUGAAGCUUUACUCUAACUUGGCACUGAUGUAUUCAGUUUGAUGCGCAGGAUAGGUGGGAGACUAUGAAAGAGACCCUCUGGGGUUUCCCGAGUCAUCCUUGAGAUACCACCCUUCACUCUGUGUACAUCUAACCCCAUAUUGGGGGACAGUGCUUGGCGGGGAGUUUAACUGGGGCGGUUGCCUCCUAAAAGAUAACGGAGGCGCACAAAGGUAUGCUAGUCCCGGAUGGAAAUCGGGAUGGUCGUGUAUUCGCAUAAGCAUGCUUAACUGAGAGACCAACAAGUCGAUCAGAUACGAAAGUAGGUGAAAGUGAUCCGGCACCAACAUGUGGGAGUGGUGUCGCUCAACGGAUAAAAGUUACUCUAGGGAUAACAGGCUGAUUCCGUCCAAGAGUUCACAUCGACGACGGAGUUUGGCACCUCGAUGUCGGCUCGUCGCAUCCUGGGGGUGGAGAAGCUCCCAAGGGUAUGGCUGUUCGCCAUUUAAAGCGGUACGCGAGCUGGGUUCAGAACGUCGUGAGACAGUUUGGCCCCUAUCUGCUGUGAGCGUUUAGGAAUUUGAUGGGAUUUGCUCCUAGUACGAGAGGACCGGAGUGAACGAACCUCUGGUGGAUCAGCUGUCGCUCUAGCGGCACUGCUGAGUAGCUACGUUCGGAAUGGAUAACCACUGAAAGCAUCUAAGUGGGAAGCCAAUCCAAAGAUGAGAUUCCUCCAAGAAUUUAUUCUUGAUAAGUGCCCUUGGAGACUACAAGGUUGAUAGGUUGCAGGUGUACGAACAGCGAUGUUCUCAGCCGAGCAAUACUAAUAGCACGAAUGAUAUUUAU